This 582-nucleotide small RNA is filed under the name Pongo abelii (Sumatran orangutan). Its description in RNAcentral is "processed transcript". The record is from RNAcentral. Lineage: Eukaryota; Metazoa; Chordata; Mammalia; Primates; Hominidae.
AAUUGUGCUUCCACAUCCAUGGUGUUUUCUCUACACAGAUUGCUGGCUUUACCUCAAGUCCAAAGCUUUAACUUGACCUGAAUAUUUCCAGUUAACAUUCUCUUUGUCAGAGGGGCAUGAACUUCUCCCCGGUUAAAGAAGUCUCUCCACACAAGGAGAUGCAAGUCAGGUGAUUGGGCCUCUUACUGAAGGACAGAGAAGAAAUGUUGCAGUAGUGAAUUCAUUGUAUAAGUUGCACCAAUCAGUAACAAAGGUUGUUUCCAGUCAGAGCUCAUUCCCACUGGCAGCUGAGCAAACUGUAAUUUCAGCUCUAAAGGAUCUGCCGUACAGUGUUGAAUAGAACUGGCUAUUCAUGCUCUUAUGGAAAAUGCUGUGCAACCCUUACUCACUUCUGUGGGAGAUGCUAUAGAGGCCAUAAUCAUCACCAUGCAUCAAGAAGACUUUUCUGGGUCAUUAUCCAGCUCAGGAAAACCUGAUGUUCCUUGUUCUCUGUACAUGAAGGAGCUACAAGGUUUCAUUGCCAGAGUUAUGAGUGACUAUUUUAAACACUUUGAAUGCUUGGAUUUUGUCUUUGACAACACU